AACCAUUUUCCGAAAAAGGAAAAAAAAAAGUAGAAAACUUAUUGGCAGAAAAAAUCACUAAACUCCUAUGACAAAGGGUACCAAAUUUUGAGAAGUGAAUGGCAGAAAACUGUGUUGAAUGUAUCAAUGAAACUGUCAUGCUUGAUGGAUACUUAACAGAUCUUUCUGAAACAUUUUCUCUGAAUUCUUUAUGGUACAAAACUACAAAUAUUCAAUGGUGAAGACUGAUGGUGAAUAAGAAUAUCAACAUCUGUUAUUAACAUAGUUUAGUAAAAUAUUUGUAGCUACGAUCGAAAGGAUAUCAGUCAAAAAUCAAAAGCACUGGCUACAGAAGAUGUUCCGAAAUUUAUUGAUGAGGUACCGAAAGAGACUUUUAGAUAUUCAGUGUAAUUGGUGGACGCUGACGGCAUGGGUACCUGAAGUUUUUCUUCACAGAAAGUUGAUAACUAGACAACAAAAGAUGAAUCCAUGUUUGCUGCAGGCAACCUAACAUUCACGGGAUCCAUUCAGAAUUGCUAAUUUCAUAUUAAUCCAUUAAAAUAUUGAUAGUAUUCAAAA
Harmonia axyridis is the source of this 558-nucleotide long non-coding RNA. RefSeq lists it as uncharacterized. The record is from RefSeq and is a predicted model, not a curated record. NCBI's taxonomy places the organism in Eukaryota, Metazoa, Arthropoda, Insecta, Coleoptera, Coccinellidae. The transcript has 2 exons.